This 253-nucleotide ribosomal RNA is filed under the name uncultured bacterium. RNAcentral describes it as "partial 16S ribosomal RNA". It matches the Rfam family "Bacterial small subunit ribosomal RNA", at positions 524 to 776 of the family's 1533-position model. The record is from RNAcentral.
UACGUAGGGCGCAAGCGUUGUCCGGAAUCAUUGGGCGUAAAGAGCGCGUAGGCGGUCUUGUAAGUCCGCUGUGAAAGUCAAGGGCUCAACCCUUGAAUGCCGGUGGAUACUGCAGGGCUAGAGGCCGGAAGAGGCGAAUGGAAUUCCUGGUGUAGCGGUGAAAUGCGCAGAUAUCAGGAGGAACACCGAUGGCGAAGGCAGCUCGCUGGGACGGUACUGACGCUGAGGCACGAAAGCGUGGGGAGCGAGCAGG